AUGCCGGGACCGGAGCCGCAGCCAGGGCCGGGGCGGGCGGCGCGGGGAGUGCAGCAGCGCUCGGGGCCCGGGGGUUGUUCCGCUGCCGCCGCCGCCGCUCCGGGCCCGCCCGGACAAAGUCCCUGCGCCAUGAGCGGCCGCCGCCCGGUGUUCCCCGGCCUCCCAGGUAGGGCCGGUGCCGGUACCGGGGGGUGCGGGGGGUCCGGGGCUCCCCAGGGCUCCCCCGCACCCAGCGGCCCGUCCCCGCAGGGGAGCUGGUGCUGGAGGAGGCGGCGGGCGCGCGGCAGCGCUGCGGCGGCAGCGACGGCUCCGUCCCCGGGACGCUGCUUUGCACCAACCGCCGCGUCGCGUUCCUGCCCGCGCAGGUGCGGCCGGGAACGGGAACAGGAACGGGACAGGGAACAGGACAAGGAACAGGAACGGCCACGGGAACGGGACAAGGAAGGGGACAGGGAACGGGAACGGCCACGGGAACGGGACAAGGAAGGGGACAGGGAACGGGAACGGGACAGGGAACGGGAACGGCCACGGGAACGGGACAAGGAACGGGACAGGGAACGGGAACGGCUUCGGGAACGGGACAAGGAACGGGACCCCGCCUUGCCGCCCGCGCCCCGCCCCGGUCCGGGGGACCCCCGACCUCCAUUGCGCUUCAUCCCCAACCCAGCCCCUUCCCGGUCCCCCAUCCCACGUCUUCCCUACCCCAUCCUGACUCCCAUGCUGACCCCAUCCCAGCUGCAUCUACAACCCCAUGCCAGUGGCACCCCAGCUACAUCCCAACUCCAUCCAUCCUCACCGGCUGCAGAACCACUGCGUUCACGCGGGGAACUCCUUGCUGCGGGACGCGGUGGGGGGACGAGGGCCCAGCACCAGCCGGUACAGGGCGGCGGGGGCUCGGGUCCGGCCCCUUUGCCCUUCCCAGGGGGGAGCUUCCAGCUCUUCCCGCUCUCUCGCAGGCCCCCGGCUCUUCCCGUCCCUUCCUCCACAGCGAGCACGAGGUGGCGCUUCCCUGCAUCCGCAAGCUGGUGGCAGGUAACGGCGGCCCCGUGCGAUGAGUUGGGCAGGUCUCAGCGCGCACUGACGCCCGCCCCGUCUCACCCCCCCCGCAGCCAGCAGCUUCACCAAGCCCAAGGUGCUGACGGCCUCCUCCACCCUCAAGUUCAUCCCGGAGGAACUGGCCGUUUUCUGCCGGGAUUUCCGCCUCCUCCGCUUCUACUUCCAUGA
Molecule: long non-coding RNA, 1224 nt
Filed under: Strigops habroptila (Kakapo)
Lineage: Eukaryota; Metazoa; Chordata; Aves; Psittaciformes; Psittacidae
Description: lncRNA (ENSSHBG00005006866.1)
Source: RNAcentral